UGGGGAAUAUUGGACAAUGGGCGAAAGCCUGAUCCAGCCAUGCCGCGUGUGUGAAGAAGGCCUUUUGGUUGUAAAGCACUUUAAGUAGGGAGGAAAAGCUAAUGGUUAAUACCCAUUAGCCCUGACGUUACCUACAGAAUAAGCACCGGCUAACUCUGUGCCAGCAGCCGCGGUAAUACAGAGGGUGCAAGCGUUAAUCGGAAUUACUGGGCGUAAAGCGCGCGUAGGUGGUUACUUAAGUCAGAUGUGAAAGCCCCGGGCUUAACCUGGGAACUGCAUCUGAUACUGGGUAACUAGAGUAGGUGAGAGGGGAGUAGAAUUCCAGGUGUAGCGGUGAAAUGCGUAGAGAUCUGGAGGAAUACCGAUGGCGAAGGCAGCUCCCUGGCAUCAUACUGACACUGAGGUGCGAAAGCGUGGGUAGCAAACAGG
This 429-nucleotide ribosomal RNA is filed under the name uncultured bacterium. Its description in RNAcentral is "bacterial SSU rRNA". It matches the Rfam family "Bacterial small subunit ribosomal RNA", at positions 355 to 776 of the family's 1533-position model. The record is from RNAcentral.